AUUGAACGCUGGCGGCAUGCCUUACACAUGCAAGUCGAACGGUAACGGGCCUUCGGGUGCCGACGAGUGGCGAACGGGUGAGUAAUACAUCGGAACGUGCCCGAUCGUGGGGGAUAACGAGGCGAAAGCUUUGCUAAUACCGCAUACGAUCUACGGAUGAAAGCAGGGGACCGCAAGGCCUUGCGCGGACGGAGCGGCCGAUGGCAGAUUAGGUAGUUGGUGGGAUAAAAGCUUACCAAGCCGACGAUCUGUAGCUGGUCUGAGAGGAUGAUCAGCCACACUGGGACUGAGACCCGGCCCAGACUCCUACGGGAGGCAGCAGGGGGGAAUUUUGGACAAGGGGCGCAAGCCUGAGCCAGCCAUGCCGCGUGCAGGAUGAAGGCCGUCGGGUUGUAAACUGCGUUUGUACGGAACGAAAAGCCUUCUUUUAAUACAGGAGGGUCAUGACGGUACCGUAAGAAUAAGCACCGGCUAACUACGUGC
This 483-nucleotide ribosomal RNA is filed under the name uncultured bacterium. RNAcentral's name for it is "partial 16S ribosomal RNA". It matches the Rfam family "Bacterial small subunit ribosomal RNA", at positions 29 to 508 of the family's 1533-position model. The record is from RNAcentral.